UACGGAGGGUGCAAGCGUUAUCCGGAUUCACUGGGUUUAAAGGGUGCGUAGGCGGGCAGGAAAGUCAGUGGUGAAAUCUCCGAGCUUAACUCGGAAACUGCCGUUGAUACUAUUUGUCUUGAAUAUUGUGGAGGUAAGCGGAAUAUGUCAUGUAGCGGUGAAAUGCUUAGAUAUGACAUAGAACACCAAUUGCGAAGGCAGCUUACUACACAACGAUUGACGCUGAGGCACGAAAGCGUGGGGAUCAAACAGG
Molecule: ribosomal RNA, 253 nt
Filed under: uncultured bacterium
Lineage: Bacteria
Description: partial 16S ribosomal RNA
Rfam family: Bacterial small subunit ribosomal RNA
Source: RNAcentral